CAGAAUGUUCUAAUUUACUUCAGCAAAACAUCAAUUUGGUCCUUCAGAUUUCUUCAGCAUCAAAUCUACACUCGCCAGCAACUUUCAACAUGGUGAAUAUUCACUCCAAAGCACCCAGAUCACAAAGCACCGUGCACACAAAGCACCCAGAUCACAUUCACCAAGAACAGAACAUUCAUCCUCAGCACGCCUCCAUUAUCAUUAACAAGAAGAACAACAUACACCAAGAACAGAACAUUCAUCCCCAGCACGCCUCCAUUAUCAUCAACAAGAACAGAA
Molecule: long non-coding RNA, 279 nt
Filed under: Eucalyptus grandis
Lineage: Eukaryota; Viridiplantae; Streptophyta; Magnoliopsida; Myrtales; Myrtaceae
Description: long non-coding RNA (EGRA_LNC003194)
Source: RNAcentral